GUAAGUAAGCGUUGAUCCAGAGAUUUCCGAAUGGGGGAACCCAGCAUGAGUUAUGUCAUGUUAUCGACAUGUGAAUUCAUAGCAUGUCAGAAGGCAGACCCGGAGAACUGAAACAUCUUAGUACCCGGAGGAAGAGAAAGAAAAAUCGAUUCCCUGAGUAGCGGCGAGCGAAACGGGAAGAGCCCAAACCAACAAGCUUGCUUGUUGGGGUUGUAGGACACUCUAUACGGAGUUACAAAAGAACAUGUUAGACGAAUCAUCUGGAAAGAUGAAUCAAAGAAGGUAAUAAUCCUGUAGUCGAAAACAUAUUCUCUCUUGAGUGGAUCCUGAGUACGACGGAGCACGUGAAAUUCCGUCGGAAUCUGGGAGGACCAUCUCCUAAGGCUAAAUACUCUCUAGUGACCGAUAGUGAACCAGUACCGUGAGGGAAAGGUGAAAAGUACCCCGGAAGGGGAGUGAAAGAGAACUUGAAACCGUGUGCUUACAAGUAGUCAGAGCCCGUUAAUGGGUGAUGGCGUGCCUUUUGUAGAAUGAACCGGCGAGUUACGAUCUGAUGCAAGGUUAAGCAGCAAAUGUGGAGCCGCAGCGAAAGCGAGUCUGAAUAGGGCGUUGAGUAUUUGGUCGUAGACCCGAAACCAGGUGAUCUACCCUUGGUCAGGUUGAAGUUCAGGUAACACUGAAUGGAGGACCGAACCGACUUACGUUGAAAAGUGAGCGGAUGAACUGAGGGUAGCGGAGAAAUUCCAAUCGAACUUGGAGAUAGCUGGUUCUCUCCGAAAUAGCUUUAGGGCUAGCCUCAAGUGAUGAUUAUUGGAGGUAGAGCACUGUUUGGACGAGGGGCCCCUCUCGGGUUACCGAAUUCAGACAAACUCCGAAUGCCAAUUAAUUUAACUUGGGAGUCAGAACAUGGGUGAUAAGGUCCGUGUUCGAAAGGGAAACAGCCCAGACCACCAGCUAAGGUCCCAAAAUAUAUGUUAAGUGGAAAAGGAUGUGGCGUUGCCCAGACAACUAGGAUGUUGGCUUAGAAGCAGCCAUCAUUUAAAGAGUGCGUAAUAGCUCACUAGUCGAGUGACACUGCGCCGAAAAUGUACCGGGGCUAAACAUAUUACCGAAGCUGUGGAUUGUCCUUUGGACAAUGGUAGGAGAGCGUUCUAAGGGCGUCGAAGCAUGAUCGCAAGGACAUGUGGAGCGCUUAGAAGUGAGAAUGCCGGUGUGAGUAGCGAAAGACGGGUGAGAAUCCCGUCCACCGAUUGACUAAGGUUUCCAGAGGAAGGCUCGUCCGCUCUGGGUUAGUCGGGUCCUAAGCUGAGGCCGACAGGCGUAGGCGAUGGAUAACAGGUUGAUAUUCCUGUACCACCUAGUAUCGUUUUAAUCGAUGGGGGGACGCAGUAGGAUAGGCGAAGCGUGCUGUUGGAGUGCACGUCCAAGCAGUAAGGCUGAGUGUUAGGCAAAUCCGGCACUCAUAAGGCUGAGCUGUGAUGGGGAGAGGAAAUUGUUUCCUCGAGUCGUUGAUUUCACACUGCCGAGAAAAGCCUCUAGAUAGAUAACAGGUGCCCGUACCGCAAACCGACACAGGUAGUCAAGAUGAGAAUUCUAAGGUGAGCGAGCGAACUCUCGUUAAGGAACUCGGCAAAAUGACCCCGUAACUUCGGGAGAAGGGGUGCUCUUUAGGGUUCACGCCCAGAAGAGCCGCAGUGAAUAGGCCCAAGCGACUGUUUAUCAAAAACACAGGUCUCUGCUAAACCGUAAGGUGAUGUAUAGGGGCUGACGCCUGCCCGGUGCUGGAAGGUUAAGAGGAGUGGUUAGCUUCUGCGAAGCUACGAAUCGAAGCCCCAGUAAACGGCGGCCGUAACUAUAACGGUCCUAAGGUAGCGAAAUUCCUUGUCGGGUAAGUUCCGACCCGCACGAAAGGCGUAACGAUUUGGGCACUGUCUCAACGAGAGACUCGGUGAAAUCAUAGUACCUGUGAAGAUGCAGGUUACCCGCGACAGGACGGAAAGACCCCGUGGAGCUUUACUGUAGCCUGAUAUUGAAAUUCGGCACAGCUUGUACAGGAUAGGUAGGAGCCUUUGAAACGUGAGCGCUAGCUUACGUGGAGGCGUUGGUGGGAUACUACCCUAGCUGUGUUGGCUUUCUAACCCGCACCACUUAUCGUGGUGGGAGACAGUGUCAGGCGGGCAGUUUGACUGGGGCGGUCGCCUCCUAAAAGGUAACGGAGGCGCUCAAAGGUUCCCUCAGAAUGGUUGGAAAUCAUUCAUAGAGUGUAAAGGCAUAAGGGAGCUUGACUGCGAGACCUACAAGUCGAGCAGGGUCGAAAGACGGACUUAGUGAUCCGGUGGUUCCGCAUGGAAGGGCCAUCGCUCAACGGAUAAAAGCUACCCCGGGGAUAACAGGCUUAUCUCCCCCAAGAGUUCACAUCGACGGGGAGGUUUGGCACCUCGAUGUCGGCUCAUCGCAUCCUGGGGCUGUAGUCGGUCCCAAGGGUUGGGCUGUUCGCCCAUUAAAGCGGUACGCGAGCUGGGUUCAGAACGUCGUGAGACAGUUCGGUCCCUAUCCGUCGUGGGCGUAGGAAAUUUGAGAGGAGCUGUCCUUAGUACGAGAGGACCGGGAUGGACAUACCUCUGGUGUACCAGUUGUCGUGCCAACGGCAUAGCUGGGUAGCUAUGUAUGGACGGGAUAAGUGCUGAAAGCAUCUAAGCAUGAAGCCCCCCUCAAGAUGAGAUUUCCCAACUUCGGUUAUAAGAUCCCUCGAAGAUGACGAGGUUAAUAGGUUCGAGGUGGAAGCGUGGUGACACGUGGAGCUGACGAAUACUAAUCGAUCGAAGACUUAAUCAAUUUUUAAA
This 2843-nucleotide ribosomal RNA is filed under the name Listeria monocytogenes. RNAcentral describes it as "partial 23S ribosomal RNA". It matches the Rfam family "Bacterial large subunit ribosomal RNA". Lineage: Bacteria; Bacillati; Bacillota; Bacilli; Caryophanales; Listeriaceae. The record is from RNAcentral.